AUGUCAGAUGACUAUCGUCAAACACGCACAUCACCGAACGAGGUGGAGCAGCUGGUGUUGCUUGACAUUAGGGGUAUGUUGCAGUCCGUGGGUAAAGACAUUGUUGAUUUUGCUCUUCCAAGCAUCGAUGAUGCCUUUGACCCAACCGAGGGCGAGUGUCGAGAGGUCAUAGAGGAAUCAACCGUUCAGUUUGACAUGGAUGACACUAAAUUGGCAGCUUCCCUGAACUUGGAACAGAGGGCCGCAUACGAUGAGAUACUGGUGGUUAUUGAAUGCAGUGAUGGGGGUGUAUUCUUUGUUGAUGGCCCUGGAGGUACAGGGAAGACCUUCCUUUAUAGGGCGAUGCUUGCCACAGUCAGGAGCCAGGGCAAUAUUGGUAUCGCUACUGCAACGUCCGGCGCCGUCGCUUCUAUCAUGCCUGGCGGCAGGACUGCGCACUCGAGGUUCAAGAUCCCAUUGAGUUGUGAUGAUGGGGCCUCAUGCAGCUUCACCAAGUAG
This 498-nucleotide ribosomal RNA is filed under the name Triticum aestivum (bread wheat). Its description in RNAcentral is "partial small subunit ribosomal RNA". Lineage: Eukaryota; Viridiplantae; Streptophyta; Magnoliopsida; Poales; Poaceae. The record is from RNAcentral.